This 161-nucleotide microRNA precursor is filed under the name Triticum aestivum (bread wheat). RNAcentral describes it as "MIR2118 microRNA precursor family". It matches the Rfam family "MIR2118 microRNA precursor family". RNAcentral also lists the same sequence under 1 other name. Lineage: Eukaryota; Viridiplantae; Streptophyta; Magnoliopsida; Poales; Poaceae. The record is from Rfam by way of RNAcentral.
AGCAGGGAAGAGAAACAAGUGGGUCUAAAAGGUGUACGAAUGGGAACAUGAAGAAAAUCAACUAUAAUGCCUCCUCUCGUAUUGGAGGGAGAAAUGGUCUGAUGUUUUUGAUGCCUCCCAUUCCUAUGGAUCUUAGGUUCUCCUUCCUCUUACUUUUUGCU